Molecule: ribosomal RNA, 463 nt
Filed under: Atypus yajuni
Lineage: Eukaryota; Metazoa; Arthropoda; Arachnida; Araneae; Atypidae
Description: eukaryotic LSU rRNA
Rfam family: 5.8S ribosomal RNA (bases 2-122)
Source: RNAcentral
ACGAUGAAGAACGCAGCCAGCUGCGAGAUUUGGUGUGAAUUGCAGGACACAUUGAGCACUGAUUUUUCGAACGCACAUUGCGGCCUCGGUUGCUACCCGGGGCCUCGCCUGUCUGAGGGUCGGAUGAUGCUUACCUAGACCUGAUGGGUCACUUGGUCGAACCAGAUUCCGCCCAAAUCUGCCGACCUAAGUUCCGAUAUAAAGAUUUAUCGAACUUUUAAACCUUGUCGUGUAACCCUCUCGAUUUGGGCAAAGACCUCUGGCGAGGGAAGGCCGCGGGACACGCGAAUUUAUUUGCCGUACCGCUCGUUUUCCUUACUCGUCUAUAUAUAUAUUAUUAUGGCUAAGAAUAAAGAGUGUCUUUGCUGAUAACCAAAGGGAUGUGGUGACGAGGUGUAACGUUGUCGACCUCAGAUCAGACGAGACGACCCGCUGAAUUUAAGCAUAUCAAUAAGCGGAGGAA